Molecule: ribosomal RNA, 497 nt
Filed under: uncultured bacterium
Lineage: Bacteria
Description: partial 16S ribosomal RNA
Rfam family: Bacterial small subunit ribosomal RNA
Source: RNAcentral
GACGAACGCUGGCGGCGUGCCUAAUACAUGCAAGUAGAACGCUGAAGAGAGGAGCUUGCUCUUCUUGGAUGAGUUGCGAACGGGUGAGUAACGCGUAGGUAACCUGCCUUGUAGCGGGGGAUAACUAUUGGAAACGAUAGCUAAUACCGCAUAACAAUGGAUGACACAUGUCAUUUAUUUGAAAGGGGCAAUUGCUCCACUACAAGAUGGACCUGCGUUGUAUUAGCUAGCAGGUGAGGUAAUGGCUCACCUAGGCGACGAUACAUAGCCGACCUGGGCGGGUGAUCGGCCACACUGGGACUGAGACACGGCCCAGACGCCUAAGGGAGGCAGCAGUAGGGAAUCUGCGGCAAUGGGGGCAACCCUGACCGAGCAACGCCGCGUGAGUGAAGAAGGUUUUCGGAUCGGAAAGAUCUGUUGUAAGUCAAGAACGGGUGUGAGAGUGGAAAGUUCACACUGUGACGGUAGCUUACCAGAAAGGGACGGCUAACUACGUG